UAUGCAGGAAGUGGUGUAUGUCUAAGAAGCAGUGUUUGGAAAAGUUAAUAACAAUGUUAGUCAAGAACAUGAUUACUUUUAAAAAAACACAAGUAGAAAAGUUAAUGAUAAUGUUAGUCAAGAACAUGAUUACUUUUCAAAAAAAAAAAACACAAUUAAAAUUAAGAUUCGUCGUGCUUUAAAUCGUUAAUUACAUGUAGAAAUUUAUUAUCAUUUUUUCACUCAUGAAUCAUAGUCCAAUUUUGCAAUUUUAAAUAUUAAUAUUCGUAUUGCAUCAAGAUGUUUAAUAUAAAAUUUAUUUUAUUCUCCAAAUAUUAAUUUUGAAUCAUCAAUAUAAUUUUUAUAAGUCGACGCAAAUUGAUUUUUAUUAUACAAAUAUUAAUUUUGAAUCAUUAAUAUAAUUUUUAUAGACCGCCGCAACGCGCGGUUUUUCAACUAGUU
This 441-nucleotide long non-coding RNA is filed under the name Daucus carota (carrot). RNAcentral describes it as "long non-coding RNA (DCAR_LNC005757)". The record is from RNAcentral. Lineage: Eukaryota; Viridiplantae; Streptophyta; Magnoliopsida; Apiales; Apiaceae.